CAUUAGAUGGCUGAAAGCAAGCACUGGUCUCUUAAACCAUAAUAUAGUAAAUUAGCACCUACUUCUAAUG
RNAcentral lists this transfer RNA (70 nucleotides) under Lissorhoptrus oryzophilus (rice water weevil). RNAcentral's name for it is "tRNA-Lys". The record is from RNAcentral. Lineage: Eukaryota; Metazoa; Arthropoda; Insecta; Coleoptera; Erirhinidae.